GCCCCCGUGGUGUAACUGGACAGCACACGGAACUUCUAAUUCCGUUAGUACAGGUUCGAAUCCUGUCGGGGGUA
RNAcentral lists this transfer RNA (74 nucleotides) under Tuwongella immobilis. Its description in RNAcentral is "Planctomycetes bacterium MBLW1 tRNA". It matches the Rfam family "tRNA". From Rfam's summary of the family: Transfer RNA (tRNA) molecules are approximately 80 nucleotides in length. Their secondary structure includes four short double-helical elements and three loops (D, anti-codon, and T loops). The record is from Rfam by way of RNAcentral. Lineage: Bacteria; Pseudomonadati; Planctomycetota; Planctomycetia; Gemmatales; Gemmataceae.